This 627-nucleotide ribosomal RNA is filed under the name uncultured Bacteroidota bacterium. Its description in RNAcentral is "bacterial SSU rRNA". It matches the Rfam family "Bacterial small subunit ribosomal RNA", at positions 60 to 689 of the family's 1533-position model. The record is from RNAcentral. Lineage: Bacteria; Pseudomonadati; Bacteroidota.
AGUCGAGGGGUAUAGUUUUCGGACCUAGAGACCGGCGCACGGGUGCGUAACGCGUAUGCAAUCUACCUUUUACAGAGGGAUAGCCCAGAGAAAUUUGGAUUAAUACCUCAUAGUAUUAUUGAAUGGCAUCAUUUAAUAAUUAAAGUCACAACGGUAAAAGAUGAGCAUGCGUCCCAUUAGCUUGUUGGUAAGGUAACGGCUUACCAAGGCAACGAUGGGUAGGGGUCCUGAGAGGGAGAUCCCCCACACUGGUACUGAGACACGGACCAGACUCCUACGGGAGGCAGCAGUGAGGAAUAUUGGUCAAUGGGCGCAAGCCUGAACCAGCCAUGCCGCGUGCAGGAUGAAGCAUCUAUGGUGUGUAAACUGCUUUUGUACGAGAAGAAACACUCCUACGUGUAGGAGCUUGACGGUAUCGUAAGAAUAAGGACCGGCUAACUCCGUGCCAGCAGCCGCGGUAAUACGGAGGGUCCAAGCGUUAUCCGGAAUCAUUGGGUUUAAAGGGUCCGUAAGCGGUUUUGUAAGUCAGUGGUGAAAGCCCAUCGCUCAACGGUGGAACGGCCAUUGAUACUGCAAGACUUGAAUUAUUGGGAAAGUACUAGAAUAUGUAGUGUAGCGGUGAAAUGC